RNAcentral lists this ribosomal RNA (492 nucleotides) under uncultured bacterium. RNAcentral's name for it is "partial 16S ribosomal RNA". It matches the Rfam family "Bacterial small subunit ribosomal RNA", at positions 30 to 507 of the family's 1533-position model. The record is from RNAcentral.
AUUGAACGCUGGCGGCAUGCUUUACACAUGCAAGUCGAACGGUAACAGGCCUUCGGGUGCUGACGAGUGGCGAACGGGUGAGUAAUGCAUCGGAACGUGCCCAGAGGUGGGGGAUAACGCAGCGAAAGCUGUGCUAAUACCGCAUGUGAUCUGAGGAUGAAAGCGGGGGACCAGGCAGCAAUGUUUGGCCUCGCGCCUUUGGAGCGGCCGAUGUCAGAUUAGGUAGUUGGUGAGGUAAAGGCCUACCAAGCCGACGAUCUGUAGCUGGUCUGAGAGGACGACCAGCCACACUGGGACUGAGACACGGCCCAGACUCCUACGGGAGGCAGCAGUGGGGAAUUUUGGACAAUGGGCGCAAGCCUGAUCCAGCAAUGCCGCGUGCGGGAAGAAGGCCUUCGGGUUGUAAACCGCUUUUGUACGGAACGAAAAGGCUCUGGCUAAUACCUGGGGCUGAUGACGGUACCGUAAGAAUAAGCACCGGCUAACUACGUG